Molecule: ribosomal RNA, 2886 nt
Filed under: Triticum aestivum (bread wheat)
Lineage: Eukaryota; Viridiplantae; Streptophyta; Magnoliopsida; Poales; Poaceae
Description: partial small subunit ribosomal RNA
Source: RNAcentral
AUGGCUGUUUCUGCACUCAUUGAUUUCGUAACUAGUACUGUGGCAUCCCACUUAUGGAACCCUGUGAUUACACGUAUGAGAUGCAUAAUAGAGAAGGAAGAAAAUAUUGGCAAGCUCGACAGCACUAUAAGGAAUCUAGAAGCCAGGAAGCAGGAAAUCCAAAUCCGUCUUAUGAACUCCGAAAGGAAGCAAGAAACAUGUAACCCUGAAGUUGCAGAAUGGCUAGAAAAGGUGGCAGAAAUAGAAAGUGAAGUGAAUGAGAUGAAACAUGGGCAGAGGAAGAGAAGGGCCCAGUCUUUCAGUUAUUGGUCAAAUUAUGAAACCAGCAUGCAGGCUGCCAAGAAACUCAAGGAAGCUCAGAUGUUGCAUGAGAAGGGAUCCUUCAAACAGGUGUCGAUCGAGGUUCCACCAUGUUUCGUGCAAGAAAUUCCUACUGUACCUUCAACACAAGGAACUGACUGUAACUUAAGCAGAGUUCUCCAAUACCUCAAAGAUGACAGAGUUGCAAUUGUAGGGGUAUGGGGAAUGGGAGGAGUUGGUAAGACCACUUUGCUCAGGAAAAUCAACAAUCACUUCUUGGGUGUAAUCGAAGAAGACUAUGGAUAUGACCUUGUUAUAUAUGUUGUGGCUUCUAAGGCGUGUCGAAUAGGUCAGCUUCAAGCAGACAUCUCUGAAAAGAUUGGACUCUUCCUGAAACCAGGCUCUAGCAUUGAAACACGAGCUUCAUUCAUGUUAAGUUUCUUAAGACGAAAGAAGUUCUUGCUCCUGCUAGAUGAUUUAUGGAAUUAUUUGGAUCUAGCAGAAGCUGGUAUUCCAUAUCCUAAUGGCCUGAAUAAACAGAACGUAGUUCUUGCAACACGUUUUGAGAGUGUUUGUGGACAUAUGGAUGCUCACAAUAGGGUCUUCCUGGAAUGCUUGGACCAAGAAGAAGCUUGGAAAUUGUUCAAAGAAAAAGUAUCAGAAGAAACCAUUAAUUCAGAUCCUAGGAUUGAAAAGUUAGCACAUGUAGUUGCAGAAGAAUGUGGGGGCUUGCCCCUUGCUCUUGUAACUAUCGGCCGUGCAAUGUCUACAAAGAAGUCUUAUCAUGAAUGGGCACUUGCUUUGUCAUUUCUGAAGAAGUCCCGCAUUCAUGAGAUCCCAAAUAUGGGGAAUGUUGGCCACCUAUACACUAGGUUAAAGAUAAGUUAUGAUUAUCUGCAGGAUAAGCAGAUCAAAGAAUGCUUCUUAUGUUGUUCUUUGUGGCCUGAAGAUUACUCAAUUUGGAAAGUUGAACUCAUAGACUGUUGGAUGGGGAUGGGUUUGAUAGAGUAUGAUACCAUGGAAGAAGGAUACCACAAGGGUUACUCCAUUAUUGAGUACUUGAAGGAUGUGUGCUUGUUAGAAACCGGCUACUUGGAAGAUAGUGAGGUGAGAGUACAUGACAUUAUCCGAGACAUGUCACUGUGGAUAUCUUCUGAUUGCAGUAAGGAGCACAUGAAAUGGAUUGUUCAAGCUGGGAUAGGACUUUAUAAUAUUUCUAAUACGGACAUUGAAACAUUUAGGUCGGCCAGAAAGAUAUCUCUAAUGUGCAAUUACAUCACCGAACUUCCUCAGGCCUUGAACUGUCCAAACCUCCAGUUUCUGUCACUACAACAGAAUUUUCGGCUCAAGGUCAUACCCCCUUCUUUUUUGAAGAGCAUAUUAUCUGUGACCUACUUGGAUUUGUCCUGGGUUCCCAUCAAGGAACUUCCACAAGAAAUUGGCAUGCUGGUUGAACUCCAAUAUCUCACACUGAAGCAAACACACAUUAGAUUAUUGCCUAUUGCUAUUGGGCUACUAAGAAAGUUAAAGUUCCUGGACAUGAGCUAUAUGGAUUUCUUGGAGAAGAUACCCUAUGGUGUUUUUACAAAUUUGUCAAUGCUACAGGUUUUAAACCUAUAUGGUAGCAGGUAUGCUGGCCGCGAAGCAGAUUUUGAUCCAGCAAACCACAUGGAUUAUGAUGAGUUUAGUGUCGAAGAAUUAUCUUGCUUAAGUCUAGGAAUAACAGCAAAGAGAGUGAGUACUCUGCAGAGGCUUUUUGAUGUACCUGGAGUCCACUUGAGAUGCCUUGGUUUAUAUGAAUUGAAUGGAGAGAGAUCUCUUACUCUCACCUUAACGGAAAGUAUCCUUGUUCUGAAUGUAAUGGGCUGUUCUGAUUUAGAGGACUUCUGCAUUAUGAACAAGCCACAAUGUUAUGAAGACCAUCUUUCAAGGCUGGAGUACCUAACCUUUUGGGAUCUUCCUCGACUUGAGAUGAUUAGGAUGGAGCAUCUUCAGAACCUUCGCGUCCUUACGGUGGGGAGAACUUAUCAACUGUUAGACCUGUCCUGCAUUUUAAAGCUACCGUAUCUGGAGCAUUUGAAUGUGUCUUGCUGUGAUAAAAUGAAGCAGAUAGUUGAUAUACAAAAUGUUAUUGACACAGAAGGAAGAUAUGAAACACCGAUUCAGGCAUUUCGGCAACUGAGAGUUUUGCAAUUAAAUUCGUUGCAAAGCUUGGAUAGCUUAUGUAAUUCUAAAUUGAAUUUUCCUUCUUUGGAAUACAUUGAUGUGUUUGCUUGCCCGAAGAUGAAGAAACUACCUUUUGAGCAAAUUGGUAAACUGAAGAGGAUCAGAGGGGAGCAAACAUGGUGGGAUAAUCUCGAGUGGGACGAUGAAAGCAGUUCCUUGUCAUUGUUGGCGUCUUUUAAGUCGUCAGAAAUUUGCUCGGCAUCCUUUAGGCCAGAGCUAGAUACUACUGUGAUAUCCUCCUCGCCGAAAGCUUUCUUCACCAAGAGGCAGCCCAUAUUGAAUUCAUCAGUACGAUUCACAUCCUAUCCACAAUCAAUUUUUGAAACAGAGGAGUUUGAUGGGCAUAUGAUGAUGGAAUAG